AAAGUUAAGAAGCUUACAGUUGGAGUGCUUUCUCCCUGGCUCAGAGGCAGGAGGGUGAGUGGCUGCAGAGGACAGACAGAUAAAACAGCACAAAAGCAUCACUGAUGGAGGAAGAUCAGACAAGUACAGGAGAAGCUGAGUAGGAUAACGGCAGAUGAAUAGGUCAGGUAUUGAUGAGGAGCAAAUCCCCCACCUAAAGAGGAUGAAAAUCCCACAUCAUCUUGCACCACAAAGGUGAAACCUCUCAGGUACAGGUUCUACCUGACCUCCAG
Neopelma chrysocephalum (saffron-crested tyrant-manakin) is the source of this 272-nucleotide long non-coding RNA. RefSeq lists it as uncharacterized. The record is from RefSeq and is a predicted model, not a curated record. The transcript is spliced from 3 exons. NCBI's taxonomy places the organism in Eukaryota, Metazoa, Chordata, Aves, Passeriformes, Pipridae.